This 225-nucleotide unclassified non-coding RNA is filed under the name uncultured Clavulina. Its description in RNAcentral is "sequence contains ITS2". Lineage: Eukaryota; Fungi; Basidiomycota; Agaricomycetes; Cantharellales; Hydnaceae. The record is from RNAcentral.
AACUAUCAAGCCGGGAUGCUUUCUUGCUUCCUGGCUUGGUUUAUUGGGCUUUGCCGUGCCCUUCAUUGGAACGGCUGGCCUUAAAAGCAUUAGCUGACUCCAUGUGGUUAUUGGUAUUCUACUUGGCGUGAUAAUAAUCUGACCGCUGAGGAAGUGUCCUUUCGGGGAUGGCCAAUUUUCGUGUGGGGUUGCUUCUAAUCUCUGGAGCUCCUGUUCCAUUUUCAA